This is a non-coding RNA of Pteropus alecto (black flying fox), 119 nucleotides long. The record is from Rfam. Lineage: Eukaryota; Metazoa; Chordata; Mammalia; Chiroptera; Pteropodidae.
GUCUAUGACCAUGCCACCCUGAACAAGCCCGAUCCUGUCUGAUCUCAGAAGCUAAGCAGGGUUGGGCUUGGUUAGUACUUGGAUGGGAGACCACCUAGGAAGACUAGGUGCUGUAAGGC